CCGGCCCAAUGCCCUGGAUCGAUGCUGAGGGAAACUCCUGGUGCACAGUCUGAACCUUUUGGCUAAGCAAGGACAGCGACUUCUGCGGGGCCUGAGACGGAGCAACGUGCAAAAGAAGGUGGCAUUGGCCAAAAAGCUCCUGGGAAAACUGCGCUUUCUGGCUCAGGAGGACUUGCCGGAGCAGCCUCACUUGCAGCCCCCACUCAGCAUCCUGGUGAUUGAGCGCCGGGCCUUUGGCCGCACAGUCCUUGUGGGUUCCACAUUGUCCCCCAUAUGCUGCGAUUCACAUUUCGGGGACACGAGGAUUCUCCUGAGGAGGAAGGAGUGAUGGAGGAGACAGGGAAUAUGAUGCCCAAGGGACCGCAAGGACAGAAGUCCCUGGAUCCCAUCUUGGCUGAAGCGGGUCUAUCCAGACAGCUCCUGAAGGUGAUGGGGCAGAGGAGCUAG
Molecule: long non-coding RNA, 447 nt
Filed under: Saimiri boliviensis boliviensis (Bolivian squirrel monkey)
Lineage: Eukaryota; Metazoa; Chordata; Mammalia; Primates; Cebidae
Description: lncRNA (ENSSBOG00000036639.1)
Source: RNAcentral